RNAcentral lists this ribosomal RNA (253 nucleotides) under uncultured bacterium. RNAcentral's name for it is "partial 16S ribosomal RNA". It matches the Rfam family "Bacterial small subunit ribosomal RNA", at positions 524 to 776 of the family's 1533-position model. The record is from RNAcentral.
UACGGAGGGUGCAAACGUUGCUCGGAAUCAUUGGGCGUAAAACGCACGUAGGCGGCCUUGCAAGUCGGACGUGAAAUCCCACGGCUCAACCGUGGAAGUGCAUUCGAAACUGCGAGGCUGGAGUCCUGGAGAGGAAAGUGGAAUACUCGGUGUAGAGGUGAAAUUCGUAGAUAUCGAGUGGAACACCGGUGGCGAAGGCGGCUUUCUGGACAGGUACUGACGCUGAGACGCGAAAGCGUGGGGAGCAAACAGG